GAUGAAGAACGUAGCGAAAUGCGAUAAGUAAUGUGAAUUGCAGAAUUUAGUGAAUCAUCGAAUGUUUGAACGCACAUUGCGCCCCUUGGUAUUCCAUGGGGCAUGCCUGUUCGAGCGUCAUUUGUACCUUCAAGCCUUGCUUGGUGUUGGGUGUUUGUCUCGCCUCUGCGCGCAGACUCGCCUCAAAACAAUUGGCAGCCGGCGUAUUGAUUUCGGAGCGCAGUACAUCUCGCGCUUUGCACUCAGAACGACGACGUCCAAAAGUACAUUUUUACACUCUUGACCUCGGAUCAGGUAGGGAUACCCGCUGAACUUAAGCAUAUCAAUAAGCGGAGGA
RNAcentral lists this unclassified non-coding RNA (337 nucleotides) under soil metagenome. RNAcentral describes it as "partial contains 5.8S ribosomal RNA, internal transcribed spacer 2, and large subunit ribosomal RNA". The stretch from base 1 to 120 matches the Rfam family "5.8S ribosomal RNA", at positions 35 to 154 of the family's 154-position model. The record is from RNAcentral.